RNAcentral lists this transfer RNA (72 nucleotides) under Planctomycetota bacterium. Its description in RNAcentral is "Planctomycetes bacterium (marine metagenome) tRNA-Gln". It matches the Rfam family "tRNA". Rfam says of the family: Transfer RNA (tRNA) molecules are approximately 80 nucleotides in length. Their secondary structure includes four short double-helical elements and three loops (D, anti-codon, and T loops). Lineage: Bacteria; Pseudomonadati; Planctomycetota. The record is from RNAcentral.
UCGGGGAUCUGCUAAUGGCUAGGCGGCCUGCCUUUGAAGCAGGAGGUGAAGGUUCGAGUCCUUCUCCCCGAG